AACUUAUAGUUCUUUUAGUGAAUUUUCCACUUACACUGGAAAGGGUUUUGUGCAAUUCAAAAUUGGUUGAU
This 71-nucleotide transfer RNA is filed under the name Hetaerina fuscoguttata. RNAcentral's name for it is "tRNA-Val". The record is from RNAcentral. Lineage: Eukaryota; Metazoa; Arthropoda; Insecta; Odonata; Calopterygidae.